Fragaria vesca subsp. vesca is the source of this 1206-nucleotide RNA transcript. RefSeq lists it as uncharacterized. The record is from RefSeq and is a predicted model, not a curated record. The transcript has 3 exons. Lineage: Eukaryota; Viridiplantae; Streptophyta; Magnoliopsida; Rosales; Rosaceae.
AAAGCUGCUUAUCAUCCAUGGACGAAAUGGUAAGAGAUUCGAUAUGAGUAUCCUUCUGAGUACGAGGCCUCGGCAACACUGAUGGCAGAUUUACCUUUUUGAAAUCGUCAAUGACAACCUCUACUCAUUGAAUCUCAGUCCUUUCAACCUCGGCCAGCCACCGACUCCUCACCUGAUUCUGAGUCUAUAGAUGGUAUUUGGUAACAAACGGGUCUGAUUGAUUAAGAGGAUCGAUUCAACAGAUGUUCUGAUUCAAAACACAAAGGGCUGAUUUCUCAGAUAGCCUGAGUUGGUAGCUGCUGCUAUCAGUUUUGAAUGUUCCAUUUUCCACAAGGUUCUAUAUGAUUGUCAACGUUUGAUUGAUAAUUUAUGACACUGAAUUGUUGAUAUUGUAAUGGCUGGGUUUUGUUGUUUUUAACUAUGUCUGGAGGACUUGAUCUACUGGGUAUUUAUUUGAACUAUUAUUUUUGUAUAUUCUUGUCAACCUUUCCAUUUUGUUUAAAAAAUAAAAAAAUAAAAGAAAAAAGGCAAGGGAUAUCAGGUCUUGUGUUUAAUUUGUGCUGAUGCAUUAUCUACACUGUGAACUUCAGUGAGGUGGGUAUGACCCUAUCAGCCUGAUUUAGUUAUAGAAAGUUAGAUGUGAAUAUAGAUAUGCCAUGCACUAAAUUCUUAUUUAUUUUUGUGAACUAUCGACUCCUUUGUUGAAAUGUACGUCAAUACUAAUUUUGAAAAGGUUUAUGAAAGAUAUAUCAUACAGUGACCUCUUUAAUAUCUUCAAGAAUGUAAAUGCAAGGUCAAAAACAAUAAGGUUCUUCAUAGGUAUGAUCAUAAAGACGUAUUUUUAUUUUACUGGUAAGUUUUAUCAAAUGUAUUUUAAACCUUGUGAUCCAUAUAUUAAUUGACGUGGGAGUUUAUUUAGUCUCAUUACUUGCUUAUUUAGUUCCGGUUCAACUUUUGCAAUUGCAUUUAUUGAUAUUAGUUCCAGUUCAACUUUUGCAAUUGCAUUUAUUGAUAAGUAGACAUUUAGAAUGGUUAUGCAGAGACGAAUCAAUUUAUACAUCGACUUGACGUUUUUCAUUGAAUCGAGUCGAAUUUUAUACUAUAGCCAUGUUUUACUAUAAUGAUCAUAUCAAACGGUGAAAUUUUCAUUUUGUGAAUUUACUCAUCGGAAUCACAGCAUACAUAUUAAUGUGGUAUAAUAUGUUU